RNAcentral lists this ribosomal RNA (253 nucleotides) under uncultured bacterium. RNAcentral's name for it is "partial 16S ribosomal RNA". It matches the Rfam family "Bacterial small subunit ribosomal RNA", at positions 524 to 776 of the family's 1533-position model. The record is from RNAcentral.
UACGUAGGGUGCAAGCGUUGUCCGGAAUUAUUGGGCGUAAAGAGCUCGUAGGCGGUUUGUCGCGUCUGCUGUGAAAACCCGAGGCUCAACCUCGGGCCUGCAGUGGGUACGGGCAGACUAGAGUGCGGUAGGAGAGAUUGGAAUUCCUGGUGUAGCGGUGGAAUGCGCAGAUAUCAGGAGGAACACCAAUGGCGGAGGCAGAUCUCUGGGCCGUAACUGACGCUGAGGAGCGAAAGCAUGGGGAGCGAACAGG